RNAcentral lists this non-coding RNA (28 nucleotides) under Rattus norvegicus (Norway rat). The record is from RNAcentral. Lineage: Eukaryota; Metazoa; Chordata; Mammalia; Rodentia; Muridae.
CUCAGCCACAAUACUAAUUCUAGCACUA